RNA transcript from Magnolia sinica, 1458 nucleotides. It is a transcript of the gene named nuclear transcription factor Y subunit B-3-like, with no coding region annotated. The transcript has 7 exons. NCBI's taxonomy places the organism in Eukaryota, Viridiplantae, Streptophyta, Magnoliopsida, Magnoliales, Magnoliaceae. The record is from RefSeq and is a predicted model, not a curated record.
UUUACAUUUAGUCUCUUUAUUGUUAUUUUUUCCUUUUUGUUGAUUGUCCUAUUGAUGAUCGAUUGCAAGUAAUAUAUAGCCAAUGGUCCUGUGUGCAAUGGGAAGAAGUCUGAUGUUAUUUUUUAAUGGAGAAGAGCAAUAAUAUUGGUCUUCAUUUUUUUAAUUGGUAAAAGUUACAUGCAUUUUGAGGUUUUAGGAGUUUAAACUAACACCUUUUGUUUUCUUUUGUAUUGAUUUUUGGGGAUGGAUUUGCCAUUGCAGCUGGAGGGUGAUACUAAAGGACCUGCCAAGGCUGGCGAUGGAUUUGGCAAAAAGGAUGUGGUUGUAGUGCAGCCUGGCCCUAGCAACCAGAUUGCUCAUCAUAGUUCUUUUACUCAAGGAAUGAGCUAUAUGCAUUCUCAGAACUUGUUCGGGGGAAAGGCCAUCAAGUACUCCUGUAGGAAGCUCUCUGAACCAGGCCUUAAUUAGACCUGCUAGGCAAUGAACAUCAAUGUCAUCAGAGUCACAGACAGCGUAUCUCCAUUUAUUCAAGGUGAAGUUUUUCCAAUAUCCCAAUUGUCAUGUUUUGUUGGCAAGCAUAGGAAAGAUCACCAAGAGAUACAGUACCCUGCCAUUUUUAUUUUAUUUUUCAAUAAUUCAUUUGCAGGCUCAUGUACUGGACUAAUGAGUCAUAACUUACCUCAUAUUCCAUGGUGAUACAGAACAUUGAUCAUCCUGAUGUGUUCAUUGAAGUUAUAUUCUGACGAAACUGUGCGAGUUCACUAAUUUGCCUCAUAUAACAUCUUGUAACCCCUUUUAACCAAGUCAGAUGACUGUCAGAGAACUGUGAUUUCAACAUAAAUUGUUCUGGGCACUGACUUUGAAUAGUUCACACAUGCAUUGGAUUACUUCAAUAUCUUGGUCUAGUCCUGCAUCAAUAUAAAAGAAACUUAGUUCUUAUGCAUAUUUGAAUUGGUUGAAAUGUAUGGAAAAUUCAACUCCCAAAAAUUUGCCACAAAGGACUUGUAUUGGACUUGCAGUCUAUGAACUCUUCAUGAAGGUCAGGAAAAAAAAUAAUAUUACCUACCUUUUCCUUGUUCUUUAUACCUGGUUCUCUCUAUAUGUUAUCAAUGUGCUUUUAUGAAGCUGGUUGUAUUCUUUGCAUUAAUAUAUAAUUCUAUAAAAAACUGAUCAUCUACAACCACUUGUAUGCAAUAACCCUUUCUUCUUCUUCCUCUUGCCCUUUCAGUCCUGUAUUAUAAUAUGGGAAAGUAUCCAGUGCUUAAUGCUUACAUUAAAGUUGGUUGUCAAGUACUCUUAUCUUGAUACACAGCAUACGUGGACGCCAAGGCAUUCAUCUAGCCCUAGUGCAGGUGGGCCAUUCUCCAACACUCGUAAUGGUUUGGAUAAUCCUAACCACUAAUUUUAGGGUUUUCUUUUUUAAUCAAACUAAAGACUAUUUUUCAGUUUUUUUUUUUG